AUGGACUUUGGGCUCAGCUUUGUUUUCCUUGUCCUUAUUUUAAAAUGUGUCAAGUGUGAGGUGAAGCUGGUGGAGUCUGUGGGAGGGUUAGAGCAGCCUGGAGGGUCCCUGAAACUCUCCUGUGCAGCCUCUGGAGUCACUGUCAGUGAGUACUGAAUGACCUGGGUCCUUCAGGCUCCAAAGAAGGAGCUGGAAAGGGUGGCAAUAAUUUUUAAUGGUGGAGGUAGCACCUAUUAUCCAGAAACCAUGAAGGGCCAAUUCACCAUCUGCAGAGAUGAUGCCAAAAACAUACUUUACCUAGAAAUAAACACUCUGUGGUCUGAGUACACACACACACACACACAUACACACAC
Mus musculus (house mouse) is the source of this 353-nucleotide non-coding RNA. The record is from the annotation of a RefSeq genome assembly. NCBI's taxonomy places the organism in Eukaryota, Metazoa, Chordata, Mammalia, Rodentia, Muridae.